RNAcentral lists this long non-coding RNA (407 nucleotides) under Phaseolus vulgaris (common bean). RNAcentral describes it as "long non-coding RNA (PVUL_LNC001821)". The record is from RNAcentral. Lineage: Eukaryota; Viridiplantae; Streptophyta; Magnoliopsida; Fabales; Fabaceae.
GAUUGAGGGUGUUGGAGUAGAGGGCUCUUGUGGUGGAGUUCCACAAUUGCUACCAUCAGGUGGCGAUGGGGUUGGAUUGUAACUUCCACCACCCUCAGGUGGUGAUGGAGUUGGAUCAUAGCUUCCACCACCUGGGGGAGUUGAUGGGGUUGGAUUGUAACUUCCACCACCCUCAGGUGGUGAUGGAGUUGGAUCAUAGGUAGGUGGUGAUGGAGUUGGAUCAUAGCUUCCACCACCUGGGGGAGUUGAUGGGGUUGGGUCAUAGCUUCCACCACCAGGGGGAGUUGAUGGAGUUGGAUUGUAACUUCCACCACUAGGGGGAGUUGAUGGGGUUGGAUUGUAACUUCCACCACCAUCUGAGGGUGGUGAUGGAGUGGGGUCAUAGCUUCCACCACCACCUGGGGGAG